UACGAAGGGGGCUAGCGUUGUUCGGAUUUACUGGGCGUAAAGCGCACGUAGGCGGUUUGUUAAGUGAGAGGUGAAAUCCCAGAGCUCAACUCUGGAACUGCCUUUCAUAUUGGCAAGCUAGAGUCCGGAAGAGGUAAGUGGAACUCCUAGUGUAGAGGUGGAAUUCGUAGAUAUUAGGAAGAACACCAGUGGCGAAGGCGGCUUACUGGUCCGGAACUGACGCUGAGGUGCGAAAAGCGUGGGGGAGCAAAACAGG
RNAcentral lists this ribosomal RNA (256 nucleotides) under uncultured bacterium. Its description in RNAcentral is "partial 16S ribosomal RNA". It matches the Rfam family "Bacterial small subunit ribosomal RNA", at positions 524 to 776 of the family's 1533-position model. The record is from RNAcentral.